This 406-nucleotide ribosomal RNA is filed under the name uncultured bacterium. RNAcentral's name for it is "partial 16S ribosomal RNA". It matches the Rfam family "Bacterial small subunit ribosomal RNA", at positions 30 to 526 of the family's 1533-position model. The record is from RNAcentral.
AUUGAACGCUGGCGGCAGGCCUAACACAUGCAAGUCGAACGAGUGGCGGACGGGUUGGUAAUGUCUGUGCAACUGCCUGAUGGAGGGGGAUAACUACUGGGCGCGGUAGCUACUACCGCAUUCCAUCGCAUGUGCCCAGAUGGGAUUAGCUAGUAGGAGGGGUAAAGGCUCACCUAGGCGACGAUCCGUAGCUGGGCUGAGAGGAUGACCAGUCACACUGGAACUGAGACACGGGCCAGACUCCUACGGGAGGCAGCAGUGGGGAAUAUUGCACAAUGGGCGCAAGCCUGAUGCAGCCAUGCCGCGUGUAUGAAGAAGGCCUUCGGGUUGUAAAGUACUUUAAGCGGGGAGGCGUUACCAGCAGAAGAAGCACCGGCUAACUCCGUGCCAGCCGCCGCGGUAAUAC